GACGAACGCUGGCGGCGUGCUUAACACAUGCAAGUCGAACGGGUCUGCCCUGUUUUUUGCGGGGUGGGUCAGUGGCGAACGGGUGAGUAACACGUGAGUAACCUGCCCCUCACUUCUGGAUAACCGCUUGAAAGGGUGGCUAAUACGGGGUGUUCUGGCUGUGCCGCAUGGUGUGGCUGGGAAAGAUUCACUUUUGUGGUGUUUUGGUGGGGGAUGGGCUCGCGGCCUAUCAGCUUGUUGGUGGGGUGAUGGCCUGCCAAGGCUUUGACGGGUAGCCGGCCUGAGAGGGUGGGCGGUCACACUGGGACUGAGAUACGGCCCAGACUCCUGCGGGAGGCAGCAGUGGGGGGUAUUGCACAAUGGGCGGAAGCCUGAUGCAGCGACGUCGCGUGAGGGAUGGAGGCCUUCGGGUUGGGAACCUCUUUCGCCGGUGAAGAAGGUCCUGCUCUGUGUGGUGGGGUUGACGGUAGCCGGGUUAUGAAGCGCCGGCUAACUACGU
RNAcentral lists this ribosomal RNA (499 nucleotides) under uncultured bacterium. RNAcentral describes it as "partial 16S ribosomal RNA". It matches the Rfam family "Bacterial small subunit ribosomal RNA", at positions 28 to 506 of the family's 1533-position model. The record is from RNAcentral.